UAGAGUGUGGUGUAGAGGGUAGCACGGAGAAUUUUGAGUUCUCAGGGUUAGGUUCGAGACCUAAGGCUCUAG
RNAcentral lists this transfer RNA (72 nucleotides) under Ochotona thibetana sacraria. RNAcentral describes it as "tRNA-Gln". It matches the Rfam family "tRNA". From Rfam's summary of the family: Transfer RNA (tRNA) molecules are approximately 80 nucleotides in length. The record is from RNAcentral. Lineage: Eukaryota; Metazoa; Chordata; Mammalia; Lagomorpha; Ochotonidae.